Non-coding RNA from Ascosphaera pollenicola, 95 nucleotides. Lineage: Eukaryota; Fungi; Ascomycota; Eurotiomycetes; Onygenales; Ascosphaeraceae. The record is from the annotation of a GenBank genome assembly.
GACAAGGUGGCCGAGUGGUUAAGGCGCGGCACUCGAAUUCCCUAUUUCGCUAUGCCGUUCAUUCGUGAGCGUAGGUUCAAAUCCUGCCCUUGUCG